GACGAACGCUGGCGGCGUGCUUAACACAUGCAAGUCGAACGGAAAGGCCCUGUUUGCAGGGUACUCGAGUGGCGAACGGGCGAGUAACUAGCGGGUGAUCUGCCCUGCACUUCGGGAUAAGCUUGGGAAACUGGGUCUAAUACCGACCAGGUCCGCACUUUAGUGUGUGUGGUGGAAAGUUUUUUCGGUGUUGGAUGAGCUCGCGGCCUAUCAGCUUGUGUGUGGGGUAAUGGCCUACCAAGGCGGCGACGGGUAGCCGGCCUGAGAGGGUGUACGGCCACAUUGGGACGGAGAUACGGCCCAGGCACCGACGGGAGGGAGAAGUGGGAAAGAUUGCACAAUGGGCGCAAGCCUGAUGCAGCGACGCCGCGUGGGGGAUGAAGGCGUUCGGGUUGUAAACUCCUUUCGCGAGGGACGAAGCUUUGUUGUGACGGUACCUAGAUAAGAAGCACCGGCUAACUACGUG
RNAcentral lists this ribosomal RNA (466 nucleotides) under uncultured bacterium. RNAcentral's name for it is "partial 16S ribosomal RNA". It matches the Rfam family "Bacterial small subunit ribosomal RNA", at positions 28 to 507 of the family's 1533-position model. The record is from RNAcentral.